Chelonoidis abingdonii (Abingdon island giant tortoise) is the source of this 1465-nucleotide non-coding RNA. The record is from RefSeq and is a predicted model, not a curated record. Lineage: Eukaryota; Metazoa; Chordata; Testudines; Testudinidae.
CUUUCAGAGGAAGCAACUGGGACAGCACAAUGCACCAUGCAAAGACGUUGCUUCAGUUCCAACUCUAAGGAAAGAAUGCCAAUUUUCAUCAAAAUAAGAAAAUCACUACAAGAAAUAAUUAGUGCAACUUCAAACAGCACACAAGGUGUCCCACAUGUGGUCAGGAAUCAGUACUGCAAUUAAAACUGAAGAGUUUUCUCAUUAAGCUUGUUAAAAAUUUACCUAUUUGUAUAAAUUUGUUUUUAUAAAGUACUGACUUGUAACUGAGUUUUCCAGCCAGGGCCCUCCUUCAAGUGCUGCACUAUCCAUUUAAGCGGUAGCUCAUCAAACUCACUUUCAGAUAUGUUCCAGAUUUUUACCAUAAAACUUUCAGACAAGUGCAGGCCACACACAGUCUUUAAAGACCACGGGGAAAAAAACAUAGCAUUGAACAAUAUGAGCAACAGACUGAACUGAAACAAAUUAUUUUCAGAUCAUUAGAAAAGUGUUCCAGAGUCAUUAAGGGUUUGGGUCAGUGUUUCAGAAACACUAUUUCAGAAGUUUAUGGCCACUGUGCUGCUUCAGGCUGACAGCUUGCCUUUUGUAUUUUUUUAAAACAAAAAGCUCAAAAUAAGCCACGUGGGUCUCUAUAUUGUAAGAAAGCAAAAUAAAGUAUAUAAAUAAGACAUUUGUGUUUCUGCUAUUCAAAUACACUAUUUUUAAACCUUGUUGAUCUACAGUUAACUUCCUUUUAAACAAAAGAUCAAUUGUAACUGAAAAUAAAUAUUUACUGCACAUGCACACAAUUCUUCCUAUUUAAAAAUAAUUUUUUUUAAAUGCAUAGGCCUACUAGGCUCUCUUUUCUUUAUACAUACAGACAAGUCUAGUUAGUUAGAUUGGAGGAAGCAAAGUGUAUAUGAGCAAAAUAAUGAAGCUGUUUAGUUUGCAAAGUCUGUACAAAUAGACCAAUAGCUCCAAGUGGAUCAGAAUAGAAAACAUUCAAAUUGUUUGAACUCCUAUAUCUCUUGCAAGGAGAGCGGAAAAUACAUUUGCCUGUUAUCACUUUAAGCCAGGCCCUCAAUGCAGUUUAAAUGAAAAUAAGUACAGGACACAGGCUAAAACGCUUAUUUUAACUCAGUUAUACCAUGCUACUGCAGAGAAUAUGAUCCUCUGUCAGCAUGCUCCAAAGGGUAUAUCUUGUAUACUAGAUGCACAAAUCAAAUAAAAAAAGAGUACCAUGGACUAUACAGUCCAAGUUUUUAUGCAGAAUUUUGCAUACAAACUUAAAGCACAAUGGAAUGAGUUCCAAACAGAGUUCCAGCAUUCACCUGAAUUUUCUCACUAAUUAUAGGUUUAAUUCCCACCGUUAACUUUUCUUUGUAUGCAUGAGCAACAAAGAGCAUUGAAAACUUUCUUGUUGAGAACAAACAAAUGGCACAUAAAUACAUUUAAAACUAGUGUAGAGACCUUGUAGAAUUAUCUAGUU